Danio rerio (zebrafish) is the source of this 110-nucleotide microRNA precursor. Ensembl annotates it as microRNA 429b. Its record names the gene mir429b. NCBI's taxonomy places the organism in Eukaryota, Metazoa, Chordata, Actinopteri, Cypriniformes, Danionidae. The record is from Ensembl.
UCUAUACUGCAGUAAAAUCCUCUGAUUUGUGUCUUACCAGGCAAGUUUAGAUGUUGAUACUGUGUCUAAUACUGCCUGGUAAUGCCAUCAAUCACUGGGAAUUUGAUCGC